GUCGGCGACCGGCGCACGGGUGAGUAACGCGUAUCCAACCUUCCCCUUAGUAGGGCAUAGCCCGGCGAAAGUCGGAUUAACACCCUAUGUUAUCCGAAGAGGACAUCUGAAUUGGAUUAAAGGUUUACCGCUAAGGGAUGGGGAUGCGUCUGAUUAGGUAGUAGGCGGGGUAACGGCCCACCUAGCCGACGAUCAGUAGGGUUCUGAGAGGAAGGUCCCCCACAUUGGAACUGAGACACGGUCCAAACUCCUACGGGAGGCAGCAGUGAGGAAUAUUGGUCAAUGGGCGAGAGCCUGAACCAGCCAAGUAGCGUGCAGGAUGACGGCCCUAUGGGUUGUAAACUGCUUUUAUACGGGAAUAAAGUGAGGGACGUGUCCCUUUUUGUAUGUACCUUAUGAAUAAGGAUCGGCUAACUCCGUGCCAGCCGCUGC
This 432-nucleotide ribosomal RNA is filed under the name uncultured bacterium. RNAcentral describes it as "bacterial SSU rRNA". It matches the Rfam family "Bacterial small subunit ribosomal RNA", at positions 87 to 518 of the family's 1533-position model. The record is from RNAcentral.